AGUAAAUAGAUACCCAGGUAGUCCACGCUGUAAACGAUGGGUACUAGGUCAGGUGGGUAUUGACCCCUGCCGGACCGGAGCUAAACGCAAAUAAGUACCCCGCCUGGGAAGUACGGUCGCAAGACUAAAACCUCAAAGGAAUUGACGGGGGUCCCGCACAAGCGGUGGAUCAUGUGGUUUAAUUCGAAGCAACGCGAAGAACCUUACCUGGGUUUGACAUCCCUCGACAGUCGUAGAAACUACGAUCUUGUAGCAAUACAACGGGGUAGACAGGUGCUGCAUGGCUGUCGUCAGCUCGUGUGGUGACAUGUUGGGUUAACGUCCCGCAA
RNAcentral lists this ribosomal RNA (329 nucleotides) under uncultured bacterium. Its description in RNAcentral is "bacterial SSU rRNA". It matches the Rfam family "Bacterial small subunit ribosomal RNA", at positions 774 to 1092 of the family's 1533-position model. The record is from RNAcentral.